This 491-nucleotide ribosomal RNA is filed under the name uncultured bacterium. RNAcentral describes it as "partial 16S ribosomal RNA". It matches the Rfam family "Bacterial small subunit ribosomal RNA", at positions 28 to 507 of the family's 1533-position model. The record is from RNAcentral.
GAUGAACGCUGGCUACAGGCUUAACACAUGCAAGUCGAGGGGAAACGCCGGGGAAGCUUGCUUCCCCGGGCGUCGACCGGCGCACGGGUGAGUAACGCGUAUCCAACCUGCCUCUGACUGAGGGAUAACCCGUCGAAAGUCGGCCUAAUACCUCAUGGCAUCGUCUGCGGGCAUCCAACGACGAUUAAAGAUUUCAUCGGUCAGAGAUGGGGAUGCGUCUGAUUAGCUUGUUGGCGGGGUAACGGCCCACCAAGGCGACGAUCAGUAGGGGUUCUGAGAGGAAGGUCCCCCACAUGGGAACUGGGACACGGUCCAAACUCCUACGGGAGGCAGCAGUGAGGAAUAUUGAUCAGUGGGCGAGAGCCUGAACCAGCCAAGUAGCGUGCAGGAUGACGGCCCUAUGGGUUGUAAACUGCUUUUAGGCGGGGAUAAAGUGAGGGACGUGUCCUUCAUUGCAGGUACCGCAUGAAUAAGGACCGGCUAAUUCCGUG